Molecule: small nuclear RNA, 104 nt
Organism: Vulpes vulpes (red fox)
Lineage: Eukaryota; Metazoa; Chordata; Mammalia; Carnivora; Canidae
Source: Ensembl
GUGCUCUCUUCAGCAGCACAUAUACUAAAAUUGGAGUGAUAUAGAGAUUACAUUGGCCCCUGUACAAGGAUGACACACAAACUCAUGAAGCAUUCCAUAUUUUU